CCACCACCAAAGCAUUCUCUGGUGUUGAAGGCCCUGCAAAGCAGCAUCGCGGUGGCGGAGCGUCGUUUGCGACGCCCAACACACAAAACAAGCGGUGAGUGCUUUGGGGUGGGGUGACUGCGUACCUUUUGUAUAAUGGGUCAGCGACUUAUAUUCUGUAGCAAGGUUAACCGAAUAGGGGAGCCGGAGGGAAACCGAGUCUUAAUUGGGCGUUAAGUUGCAGGGUAUAGACCCGAAACCCGGUGAUCUAGCCAUGGGCAGGUUGAAGGUUGGGUAACACUAACUGGAGGACCGAACCGACUAAUGUUGAAAAAUUAGCGGAUGACCUGUGGCUGGGGGUGAAAGGCCAAUCAAACCGGGAGAUAGCUGGUUCUCCCCGAAAGCUAUUUAGGUAGCGCCUCGUGAAUUCAUCUCCGGGGGUAGAGCACUGUUUCGGCUAGGGGGCCAUCCCGGCUUACCAACCCGAUGCAAACUGCGAAUACCGGAGAAUGUUAUCACGGGAGACACACGGCGGGUGCUAACGUCCGUCGUGAAGAGGGAAACAACCCAGACCGCCAGCUAAGGUCCCAAAGUCAUGGUUAAGUGGGAAACGAUGUGGGAAGGCCCAGACAGCCAGGAUGUUGGCUUAGAAGCAGCCAUCAUUUAAAGAAAGCGUAAUAGCUCACUGGUCGAGUCGGCCUGCGCGGAAGAUGUAACGGGGCUAAACCAUGCACCGAAGCUGCGGCAGCGACACUGUGUGUUGUUGGGUAGGGGAGCGUUCUGUAAGCCUGUGAAGGUGUGUCGUGAGGCAUGCUGGAGGUAUCAGAAGUGCGAAUGCUGACAUAAGUAACGAUAAAGCGGGUGAAAAGCCCGCUCGCCGGAAGACCAAGGGUUCCUGUCCAACGUUAAUCGGGGCAGGGUGAGUCGACCCCUAAGGCGAGGCCGAAAGGCGUAGUCGAUGGGAAACGGGUUAAUAUUCCCGUACUUGGUGUUACUGCGAAGGGGGGACGGAGAAGGCUAUGUUGGCCGGGCGACGGUUGUCCCGGUUUAAGCGUGUAGGUGUGUGUUCCAGGUAAAUCCGGUUCACUUUAACACUGAGGCGUGACGACGAGGCACUACGGUGCUGAAGCAACAAAUGCCCUGCUUCCAGGAAAAGCCUCUAAGCAUCAGGUAACAUCAAAUCGUACCCCAAACCGACACAGGUGGUCAGGUAGAGAAUACCAAGGCGCUUGAGAGAACUCGGGUGAAGGAACUAGGCAAAAUGGUGCCGUAACUUCGGGAGAAGGCACGCUGACACGUAGGUGAAGUGAUUUACUCAUGGAGCUGAAGUCAGUCGAAGAUACCAGCUGGCUGCAACUGUUUAUUAAAAACACAGCACUGUGCAAACACGAAAGUGGACGUAUACGGUGUGACGCCUGCCCGGUGCCGGAAGGUUAAUUGAUGGGGUCAGCGCAAGCGAAGCUCCUGAUCGAAGCCCCGGUAAACGGCGGCCGUAACUAUAACGGUCCUAAGGUAGCGAAAUUCCUUGUCGGGUAAGUUCCGACCUGCACGAAUGGCGUAAUGAUGGCCAGGCUGUCUCCACCCGAGACUCAGUGAAAUUGAACUCGCUGUGAAGAUGCAGUGUACCCGCGGCAAGACGGAAAGACCCCGUGAACCUUUACUAUAGCUUGACACUGAACAUUGAGCCUUGAUGUGUAGGAUAGGUGGGAGGCUUUGAAGUGUGGAC
RNAcentral lists this ribosomal RNA (1705 nucleotides) under Salmonella enterica subsp. enterica serovar Oslo. RNAcentral describes it as "partial 23S ribosomal RNA". It matches the Rfam family "Bacterial large subunit ribosomal RNA", at positions 1 to 2169 of the family's 2925-position model. The record is from RNAcentral. Lineage: Bacteria; Pseudomonadati; Pseudomonadota; Gammaproteobacteria; Enterobacterales; Enterobacteriaceae.